AGCAGCCGCGGUAAUUCCAGCUCCAAUAGCGUAUAUUAAAGUUGUUGCAGUUAAAAGCUCGUAGUUGAAUUUCGGGAUCAAUACGUCGGUCGUGCUUAGGUACGUACUGGCGUAAUUGAUUUCUCCCUUCUGACGAACCAUGAUGUCAUUAACUUGGUGUCAUGGGAAAUCAGGACUGUUACUUUGAAAAAUUGAGUGUUUAAAGCAGGCUCACGCUUGAAUACAUUAGCAUGGAAUAAUGAAAUAGGACGUUCGAUCCUAUUUUGUGGU
This 270-nucleotide unclassified non-coding RNA is filed under the name uncultured Scutellospora. RNAcentral describes it as "sequence contains 18S rRNA gene". It matches the Rfam family "Eukaryotic small subunit ribosomal RNA", at positions 569 to 848 of the family's 1831-position model. The record is from RNAcentral. Lineage: Eukaryota; Fungi; Glomeromycota; Glomeromycetes; Diversisporales; Gigasporaceae.